Molecule: long non-coding RNA, 246 nt
Organism: Spea bombifrons (plains spadefoot toad)
Lineage: Eukaryota; Metazoa; Chordata; Amphibia; Anura; Pelobatidae
Exons: 2
Source: RefSeq, a predicted model, not a curated record
CCGGGUUUCCCCAACCACAGGUGCUUAAAAAAAAACACACCAAACACGCAAAUCAGACUCACAUUUAUUCAGCCCACUCAUCAGCUGAGCAGGUGCUUCUGCUGUCCCCAAGUAAUCACAGGAUGGAUCACAAUGAACUCACACACCUAUACAUCUGUAUUGUUUUUAAAAUUCACGGUCUUGGAAAUCGUAGACGUUGUGUUGUAUGGGGCGUCUGGGUCAAUAAAAUAUUUUGAAAGUUAAAAA